CGACUGCACACCAUUGCAACCCGCUAGUUCGUGACAGAAAGCGCGGGGAAGGCAAGAGGGAGAUGAACGAGACUUCACUGUCCUCCAGGACUUACUGCAAAUUCUGAAGAGCAUAAAUCACUCAUAGUAGAACUCAUCUAAAAGGUUCUUUUGGAGAACAGAGCUAAAUCAGGAAUUAAAGGAAAAUCUAAUUCCAUCACUGAUAGCAAUAUAACAGUGAGGCUAAAGUGCACGAGAAAUUUAAAUUACUCUGAAGGAGUAGGUUCGAUAUACAGGCCGUCCCUGAAAACUGCUAUUGCAAGAUGCAAACAGAGGUCACAAAGAAGUCAUGGUAGCCCAUGUCAUUCCUAAGACCUGUGAGAAGAACUUGCUGCCACUGCAAGGAGUCAAAA
Chroicocephalus ridibundus (black-headed gull) is the source of this 392-nucleotide long non-coding RNA. RefSeq lists it as uncharacterized. NCBI's taxonomy places the organism in Eukaryota, Metazoa, Chordata, Aves, Charadriiformes, Laridae. The record is from RefSeq and is a predicted model, not a curated record. The transcript has 3 exons.